This 881-nucleotide long non-coding RNA is filed under the name Cottoperca gobio. Its description in RNAcentral is "lncRNA (ENSCGOG00000023309.1)". The record is from RNAcentral. Lineage: Eukaryota; Metazoa; Chordata; Actinopteri; Perciformes; Bovichtidae.
AUUCUUUUCUCGAGAGUUAUGCACAAGCUCUUACACCUACACUGACAGUGAAUCCACCGGUGAUCUCAGAGACAGACUCAGUCACUCUGCACUGUCAGACUCCAUCAUCUGUUCCUGUGUCUCAGUGUUAUUUCUACACUUUAAGUGGAGGAACUGUCAAAGACUUCUCUUGUCUGAAGACACUGACAGGAACUGAGCUGCUGGAGAUGUCACGUCAGAGUUCACCUGCUGAGGUUAAAGUUACAUGUUUUUACACUGUAAAGCUUGGAGACAUAAAUUCUCCAUCUCCACACAGUGACACAUCCUCCGUCACCAUACACACUCUUCUUCCACCUACACUGACAGUGAAUCCACCGGUGAUCUCAGAGACAGACUCAGUCACUCUGCACUGUCAGACUCCAUCAUCUGUUCCUGUGUCUCAGUGUUAUUUCUACACUUUAAGUGGAGGAACUGUCAGAGUCUUCUCUUGUCUGAAGACACUGACAGGAACUGAGCUGCUGGAGAUGUCACAUCAGCGUUCACCUGCUGAGACCAAAAGUAAACGUCACUGCUUUGCAGGGUGGUUAUGAUGAAACCUACAGUAUCGUCACCUAUGAAUGCAACACUGAGUGACAACAGCAGCACCUCCGAGAAGCUACAUCAGCCCUGAGAGAGACCGUGUACAGCCCUCUAAAGUCAAUUUGAAAUUCAAACGUUGUUUUUCUUGCAUCUUUUUUCUUGCUUAUGUACAAGUUAAUUGAUCUUAACAGUAUUUACAUCAUUACCCCACAAGAGCAGACGUUAGAAUGGUGAUAUGGCUCAGUUGAACUUUAUUGAAUUGAUAGUUUGGUCAGAACAUAACAUGUAUCAAUGCUUUGAAUAAUAAAAUCCAUGUACACAAU